UACGGAGGGGGCUAGCGUUGUUCGAAAUUACUGGGCGUAAAGCGCACGUAGGCGGCUUUGUAAGUUAGAGGUGAAAGCCUGGAGCUCAACUCCAGAAUUGCCUUUAAGACUGCAUCGCUUGAAUCCAGGAGAGGUGAGUGGAAUUCCGAGUGUAGAGGUGAAAUUCGUAGAUAUUCGGAAGAACACCAGUGGCGAAGGCGGCUCACUGGACUGGUAUUGACGCUCAUGCACGAAAGCGUGGGGAGCAAACAGG
RNAcentral lists this ribosomal RNA (253 nucleotides) under uncultured bacterium. Its description in RNAcentral is "partial 16S ribosomal RNA". It matches the Rfam family "Bacterial small subunit ribosomal RNA", at positions 524 to 776 of the family's 1533-position model. The record is from RNAcentral.